AGCGGAGAAGACGAUGGGCU
RNAcentral lists this microRNA (20 nucleotides) under Rehmannia glutinosa. RNAcentral's name for it is "rgl-miR5137". The record is from miRBase by way of RNAcentral. Lineage: Eukaryota; Viridiplantae; Streptophyta; Magnoliopsida; Lamiales; Orobanchaceae.